RNAcentral lists this ribosomal RNA (276 nucleotides) under Triticum aestivum (bread wheat). Its description in RNAcentral is "partial small subunit ribosomal RNA". The record is from RNAcentral. Lineage: Eukaryota; Viridiplantae; Streptophyta; Magnoliopsida; Poales; Poaceae.
AUGAACAAAACCAGAUACACUAUUGCGAGCCAACUGCCCCCAUCAAAUUCGUCCAAGGUCAUCCUGUCUCCUCUCAGAUCUCGUUGGUCUCUCCAUUCUUGGUGCCUGAUUAAGCACAAGAUUAUUAAUAGACACCAUCGCUCUGACGGGAUAUAUGGUAUUGUUGGUUCGAGCGCGUCUCUCGGUCUUUGGUUCAGUGUCAUCUAUGACACCAUCGCUCGGCCGGGCUAUCUGGUGCGAGGAAGCGCCAUCGGAGAACCCAGUCCGCACGAGUAG